This 544-nucleotide long non-coding RNA is filed under the name Ananas comosus (pineapple). RNAcentral's name for it is "long non-coding RNA (ACOM_LNC010967)". Lineage: Eukaryota; Viridiplantae; Streptophyta; Magnoliopsida; Poales; Bromeliaceae. The record is from RNAcentral.
CAUUAUAUUUUCGAAAGCAUAGAAAUCAUUGUGUUUUUCAAUUAUUUUUAAUGAUAAGACAUCUGAUUCGACAAUUGACUUCGCCAGACAUAAUAAGCGUUAGUAAAAUUAUUUAAAAACCAAAUUUAUUUUACAUAGUAGAUGAAUCAUACGCUAUAGAUGAUCAACUACUUUGCUAUAUAUAGUGGGUGAAUAAUAUUUUUUUUUUUUAGAAAGAGAUAGUAAGCUAUCUGCUUCAUUCAUUAAGCAAAAUGAACUAAGCAUACAAGGUGGAAGCAGCUAAGGCCUCCGAGGCGAUGCCAAGGAACAAAAAUAGUACAGUAACAGAAUAGAGAUAGAGGAUAAGGAGGAAAUAAGAGAAAAAGUGAGAGAAAAAAAAAGAAAAUUAAGCAGAAUAACAGCAAGCUGUUGCGGUCAGCCGAGCUGUGUCCACAAGUCCGUCAGGCGUAAGAUGCGCUCAAUUGCCUGGGUAGCAUUGAAAGGUUUCGUGCUAAAGAUAAUGUUGUUUCUUUCUGUCCAUAUUACCCACCAGAUUGCCACUAGA